CUCCAACAAAAAACCUAUAGCACCAUCUCAAAUUUCUAGAAUUUUAAAGCACCAACUUCACUCGAGAAUGGCAGACAAUCAAAGUUCAAAUUUUGGAAUUCAAUCUGGACAUAGGUGCAAGAAAAUGGAUUCAACACACUUAGACAAUCACCUUCUCAAUCGCAGAAAUAAUGUCUAGAUUCAAAGUUGAAACAGAAAGAUAGAACUCUCAACUACUUCCGCAAAGCCAC
Molecule: long non-coding RNA, 230 nt
Filed under: Solanum tuberosum (potato)
Lineage: Eukaryota; Viridiplantae; Streptophyta; Magnoliopsida; Solanales; Solanaceae
Description: long non-coding RNA (STUB_LNC009025)
Source: RNAcentral